This 89-nucleotide ribosomal RNA is filed under the name Candidatus Woesebacteria bacterium. RNAcentral's name for it is "partial 16S ribosomal RNA". It matches the Rfam family "Bacterial small subunit ribosomal RNA", at positions 1445 to 1533 of the family's 1533-position model. The record is from RNAcentral. Lineage: Bacteria; Candidatus Woeseibacteriota.
AGAGGAGCUCUUCUACGGCGAGGUUGGCGAUGAGGACUAAGUCGUAACAAGGUAUCCGUACUGGAAGGUGCGGAUGGAUCACCUCCUUU